This 467-nucleotide ribosomal RNA is filed under the name uncultured bacterium. RNAcentral describes it as "partial 16S ribosomal RNA". It matches the Rfam family "Bacterial small subunit ribosomal RNA", at positions 28 to 507 of the family's 1533-position model. The record is from RNAcentral.
GACGAACGCUGGCGGCGUGCUUAACACAUGCAAGUCGAACGGAAAGGCCCUGCUUUUGUGGGGUGCUCGAGUGGCGAACGGGUGAGUAACACGUGAGUAACCUGCCCUUGACUUUGGGAUAACUUCAGGAAACUGGGGCUAAUACCGGAUAGGAGCUCCUGCUGCAUGGUGGGGGUUGGAAAGUUUCGGCGGUUGGGGAUGGACUCGCGGCUUAUCAGCUUGUUGGUGGGGUAGUGGCUUACCAAGGCUUUGACGGGUAGCCGGCCUGAGAGGGUGACCGGCCACAUUGGGCCUGGGGUGCGGCCCAGACUCCUUCGGGAGGCAGCAGUGGGGAAUAUUGCCCAAUGGGCCGAAGCCUGAUGCAGCAACGCCGCGUGCGAGAUGACGGCCUUCGGGUUGUAAACCGCUUUCGCCUGUGACGAAGCGUGAGUGCCGGUACUGGGUAAAGAAGCACCGGCUACUACGUG